AACGAGGAUCCCAUGUGCUGCAACUAAGACCCGAAGCAGCCAAAAAUAAAUAAAAUAAUAAAUAAAUCUUUUUUUUUUUUUUAAAGGCAGGAACGACCUCAGGGAGAAGUGAAGGGAGAGAUCUGAAGUCACCAAGGGGACAGCACAUGUUGCUCUCAGAUGAGCCCAGAUUUAGAGGACGUGGACAAAAUAUGGCAAGAUGGCUCUAGCCAAGGACUAAUUCCAAAAAGAGUACAACCUUGUCAUGUCUGAACAACAAUAAAGCCCAGAGCUGAGAGUUAUGGAAAGCUGUGUACACAUUAAAAAGGGCGAGAAUAACAAUGGCAGGGCUGGAGGAGAACAGAAAGAACGGAGCCUGGCUUCUCUUUUACUUCUGUUAUUUCUAUCAAGCACAAUGAUCUGCAAGUUGGAAAGGUUGAAAAUCAACUGGAAGAUCUGAAGAUCAAAGUGAUGAAGUGACAGUCAAAGGAUGAGCCGAUGUUUCAGAAUCAAGCUGUCUGCUGAGAAAGCCAUGAAUGGCCACAUGGAAAGAAAUACGUGUCAUCUCUCAUGUCUAUAGCAUUACACGUGGACUUGAUGUACCAAUGAAAACACCAUUUAAACACAAGGAGUAGAGUAGAAGAGUAGAAGAAAUGAAGUACAGAGGUGGAGAAAAUAAUCGUUAUUUUUCAUUUCAGAGUAUUUUAGAAAAAAAUAAUUUAUCCAAUAAACAUUUAUUGUGCCCCA
Molecule: long non-coding RNA, 726 nt
Organism: Aethalodelphis obliquidens (Pacific white-sided dolphin)
Lineage: Eukaryota; Metazoa; Chordata; Mammalia; Artiodactyla; Delphinidae
Exons: 2
Source: RefSeq, a predicted model, not a curated record